This 1009-nucleotide long non-coding RNA is filed under the name Pan troglodytes (chimpanzee). RNAcentral describes it as "long non-coding RNA NONPTRT017914". The record is from RNAcentral. Lineage: Eukaryota; Metazoa; Chordata; Mammalia; Primates; Hominidae.
GGAGCAGUGUGAAGAAGAAGAGGCAAGAACAACCCCUGGACCGACCAAAGCCCUGUGCCCUUGCAUCCCAUACCCAGCACCCACAUCCUGCUGCCAUCGUCACCACCAUGCCCAAGAGAAAGGGUGAAGGGGAUGCUAAAGGAGAUAAAUCCAAAGUUAAGGACGAACCACAGAGAAAAUCCACGAAGUUGUCUGCUAAACCUGCUCCUCCAAAGCCAGAGACCAAACUUAAAAAGGCCCCUGCAAAGAAGGGAGAGAAGGUACCCAAAGGAUAAAGGGAAAAGCUGAUGCUGGCAAGGAGGGGAAUAACCCUGCAGAAAAUGGAGAUGCUAAAUCAGACCAGGCACAGAAAACUGAAGGUUUCCUGCAACCUCACUGGGCAUUUUCAGAAUGAUCUGUACAAGCGUUGACUGAAUGAUUGAUUCCAAGUUCCCCCUUCCUAGGAUUUCAGACCUCCUCUUGACAAGUGAUGAAUGGGCCAUCUUAAUCUUGUUUGGAUCAGAAAGGACCAUACAACUGAGCUUCAGACAAGACUAAAAAUAUCAAAAGUAGCACUCUGCAAUUUUAUGUGCAUGUGGCUUGAAGCUCUGACACCAACACAACAGACAUUCAACAGCUCCUGCUUGAGCAGCACCACUGUGCCAGGCUCUGGCAACAUUGAAGAUAAAGGAUGUGUCUCUGUCCUCAAAAGGAUCGAUUCCAGCAGGGAGAACCUACAUGUGAAUAAGUCACUCCAUGCAAGGUGUAGCUGGGAUUACAGGUGUGCACCAGCACUCAGCGACACACGGUGCUGCAGAAACCCUAAGAUUUAACUCCAACUUCUGGAGAAGAGCUCACUGCAAGACAGAUGAGAAAGAGGUUGUUUUAAGAUGAAGAAAAGGAAUGAUACUUGAUUCAUCAUCUUAUACAUGAUUCACAAGAAAAAUAUAAUGUCUUUAUUUUUCAGAGGGUUUUUUAAAAUUAAGAGAUGGGAUCUUGCUACGUUGCCCAGGCUGUAGUGCUGUGGCUA